RNAcentral lists this ribosomal RNA (497 nucleotides) under uncultured bacterium. RNAcentral's name for it is "partial 16S ribosomal RNA". It matches the Rfam family "Bacterial small subunit ribosomal RNA", at positions 28 to 523 of the family's 1533-position model. The record is from RNAcentral.
GAUGAACGCUGGCGGCGUGCCUAACACAUGCAGGUCGAGCGUGAUUUAUGAGGACGAAACUUCGGUCUAGGAAUCAUAAUGAAAGCGGCGGACGGGUGAGUAACGCGUAGGCAACCUGCCCUUAACACAGGGAUAGCCUCGGGAAACCGGGAUUAAAACCUGAUGAUGCCAAAGAGUCACAUGGCUCGUUGGCCAAAGAUUUAUCGGUUAAGGAUGGGCCUGCGUCUGAUUAGUUUGUUGGUGGGGUAACGGCCUACCAAGACUACGAUCAGUAGCCGACCUGAGAGGGUGAUCGGCCACAUUGGAACUGAGACACGGUCCAAACUCCUACGGGAGGCAGCAGCGGGGAAUAUUGCACAAUGGGCGAAAGCCUGAUGCAGCAACGCCGCGUGAGCGAUGAAGGCCUUUGGGUCGUAAAGCUCUGUCCUUGGGGAAGAAACAAAUGACGGUACCCAAGGAGGAAGCCCCGGCUAACUACGUGCCAGCCGCCGCAGUAA